AUGACAUCUACGAAACUUUUGAUCUUGUUUUCCCUGUUCUCUGAUUGCAUAUGCUCAUCAAUAACUUUGUCAAAGAAAUCAUUGAAUAUUUUGUGAACUGCCUUCAUGCGCUUAGUUAGCCCUUGAAGGUCAAGUGCACCAAUGUAAGGAAUAUAGUCACUCAUGUUAGGAGUUGCAGCUAGAUGCAUGCCCUCUUGCAUCACACCCUUGAACCCCUUGUCAUCCAAGUCCUGGUCCAUGUACUUCUUCCCCAAAACCAUUCUACAGCUCAUGUCUGCAGUGAGUGCUGAAAUCUUGGCACUAAGAUCUACAGCAACCCCAUCACUG
This 327-nucleotide long non-coding RNA is filed under the name Lotus japonicus. RNAcentral's name for it is "long non-coding RNA (LJAP_LNC001932)". The record is from RNAcentral. Lineage: Eukaryota; Viridiplantae; Streptophyta; Magnoliopsida; Fabales; Fabaceae.